CGUCUAUAUACGUAUAGCAUAUCAAUAAGCGGAGGAAAAGAAACUAACUAGGAUUCCCUCAGUAACGGCGAGUGAAGCGGGAAGAGCUCAAAUUUGAAAUCUUCAAGGUUCUACCUUGACGAAUUGUAGUUUAAAGAAGUGUUUUCUGUUGGAGUUUUGGUAAAAGUUCUUUGGAAUAGGACAUCAUAGAGGGUGAGAAUCCCGUAUUUGACCAUUAUUUCCAACUUUGUGAUACACUUUCAAAGAGUCGGAUUGUUUGGGAAUGCAGUCCAAAAUGGGUGGUAAAUUUCAUCUAAAGCUAAAUACUGGCGAGAGACCGAUAGCGAACAAGUACCGUGAGGGAAAGAUGAAAAGAACUUUGAAAAGAGAGUUAAACAGUACGUGAAAUUGUCAAAAGGGAAGCGUUUGACACCAGUGUUGUUUUCUCGAAAAUCAAUUAAAAAUGGUGGGAUUUUGUGUUGUAUUGACUUUAUCAGCUUUCUGCACUUUUUUCCUAUCUUUUUUAAUGCACUUUUCGUUUAACAAGUCAACAUCAAUUUCUUUUGUUGUAAAAGAGUCAUUGGAAGGUGGCUUUCUUUUCGGGGAAAGUGUUUAUAGCCUUUGACUUCUGCAAUCGGAGAGAUUGAGGUCUGCAGCGUAGAUCCUUCGGGGUUAGAUGCAUUUGUGCUAAGUUAUAGCCUUUCAUAGACAACUUGUUGACUAUGAUCAGUCAUGUAGCUUACUCGCUUAUGUUAUUUUACCUACGCUUAGGAUGUUGACGAUCAGCUGAGCGCG
This 774-nucleotide ribosomal RNA is filed under the name uncultured Neocallimastigales. Its description in RNAcentral is "partial large subunit ribosomal RNA". It matches the Rfam family "Eukaryotic large subunit ribosomal RNA", at positions 26 to 627 of the family's 3401-position model. Lineage: Eukaryota; Fungi; Neocallimastigomycota; Neocallimastigomycetes; Neocallimastigales. The record is from RNAcentral.